Myripristis murdjan (pinecone soldierfish) is the source of this 223-nucleotide long non-coding RNA. RefSeq lists it as uncharacterized. The transcript is spliced from 3 exons. NCBI's taxonomy places the organism in Eukaryota, Metazoa, Chordata, Actinopteri, Holocentriformes, Holocentridae. The record is from RefSeq and is a predicted model, not a curated record.
GCCAUUUUGAACAGAAAACUGUAACUUACUCACCCAGUCGAUGUGUUGGCCCGCUGUUUUCCGAAGUUGGCGUGGAUAAAAACAUAAUAUUAGCUAAGAUUAUAGUCCCUUCGCGAGUGACUUGGAUACGUUAUCAGAACUGGAUGGCUUCAGGGACUUUGUAUUUGUCAUCACCAGCAUACUGAGGAUAUUGGUGAUAGGUGCAGUGUACCUGAUCUACUAC